RNAcentral lists this unclassified non-coding RNA (591 nucleotides) under Hevea brasiliensis (rubber tree). Lineage: Eukaryota; Viridiplantae; Streptophyta; Magnoliopsida; Malpighiales; Euphorbiaceae. The record is from RNAcentral.
ACAUUGCAAGCUGCAGCAGACACGGUAUGAGCAACAACCUAGAUUCUGUAUACUCUUUGUCUUUUACUUGCUUGUCUUUCCUUGAUUUUGAUGUUGUUAGUUGGCCUUCCAUAACCUAGUCAGGUUAAACAUUAAGGAAUUGAAUUCAUCAUGAAAUAUGAUAUAUCUUUUUGUGACUUCAAAAUCAGAUAACACUUGUGUAAUUAUAGCCCUAUUGCUGGGCCUGGUACCUAAAUUAUAUUUUCCAAUGGGAUUCUUUUAAGCUGUUUGCGUUGAUAAUGCUUAUUAAGCCUGCAUUAUAUUAAUUCAAAUGGGCUAAUAGCCUAAAACUGAGUGGUGGAGUGCUGCAAUCCUAGAUGGGAAGCUAUUUUCAGUCUGUCUUUGUCCCUUUUGUAUCUUCUGCUUAGAAAGCUUACUUUUCUUCAUUAGUUCAUCCAAGGUUCUGAUCAGAGCUUCUAAAACAAUGUUUCUUCAAUCAAUGCAUCCCAAUCCAUCUGGAGAUGUGAUACCUUUUAUGAUUAGUUUUUACUUUUUUAGUUUAUCUGUAUUUUUGUUACUUUUACUAUUAGAUGAGCCAUUGCUGAUUCAACC